GGAGAGGUGGCCGAGCGGCUGAAGGCGCUCCCCUGCUAAGGGAGUAUGGGUUGACCCCCAUCGAGGGUUCGAAUCCCUCCCUCUCCGCCA
This 90-nucleotide transfer RNA is filed under the name Gammaproteobacteria bacterium. RNAcentral's name for it is "tRNA-Ser". It matches the Rfam family "tRNA". Rfam says of the family: Transfer RNA (tRNA) molecules are approximately 80 nucleotides in length. Their secondary structure includes four short double-helical elements and three loops (D, anti-codon, and T loops). The record is from RNAcentral. Lineage: Bacteria; Pseudomonadati; Pseudomonadota; Gammaproteobacteria.